This 91-nucleotide transfer RNA is filed under the name Gammaproteobacteria bacterium. RNAcentral's name for it is "tRNA-Ser". It matches the Rfam family "tRNA". From Rfam's summary of the family: Transfer RNA (tRNA) molecules are approximately 80 nucleotides in length. Their secondary structure includes four short double-helical elements and three loops (D, anti-codon, and T loops). Further hydrogen bonds mediate the characteristic L-shaped molecular structure. tRNAs have two regions of fundamental functional importance: the anti-codon, which is responsible for specific mRNA codon recognition, and the 3' end, to which the tRNAs corresponding amino acid is attached (by aminoacyl-tRNA synthetases). tRNAs cope with the degeneracy of the genetic code in two manners: having more than one tRNA (with a specific anti-codon) for a particular amino acid; and 'wobble' base-pairing, i.e. permitting non-standard base-pairing at the 3rd anti-codon position. The record is from RNAcentral. Lineage: Bacteria; Pseudomonadati; Pseudomonadota; Gammaproteobacteria.
GGAGAGGUGCCAGAGCGGCCGAAUGGGCCUGACUCGAAAUCAGGUGUGUCCUUUGGGGGCACCCAGGGUUCGAAUCCCUGCCUCUCCGCCA